GGGUUAUAUUGUUCAGCACGUGUGUUAUUGGUUGUAUUCUCCAAUAUCCCCAUCUUUUAACAUUGCCAGUGAGCAGACGGAUGUAGAAAGAAUAACAGCAGAAGGACUCUCAAUUCAAAGACUUAAACCAGCAGGGAAUUGCCUCCAUUGAAAGUAUUAUUUCCAGAAAUACUAAUGAGCAGCCUACAUCAGCUGAGAAAAGUGAAACUGGAAUUCCUAAAGAUAAAAGCCAGGU
This is a long non-coding RNA of Gorilla gorilla gorilla (western lowland gorilla), 235 nucleotides long. RefSeq lists it as uncharacterized. Lineage: Eukaryota; Metazoa; Chordata; Mammalia; Primates; Hominidae. The record is from RefSeq and is a predicted model, not a curated record. The transcript is spliced from 3 exons.